GGCCACUGAAACCCCUGCCAUCCCUCCGGAAAAGAAAAGAAAAAGCAGGAAGAGACCUCUUUCUAAUCCAGUGGUCACACGCAGACGUGAGAGACAACGGGAAACACAACGUUCCGCAUCAGCUUCACAAGCCAGAAGAGACGAUCCUGUGCAUGAGGAAGGCCUUCAGCUAGAACAUCAAGAGUUUGGUAGUCUUGAAACACAUCUCCAAGAGUUAAGGGACACCCUAACUGCAGUCCAGGUUCCGGAGGCAACAGACGGAACGGUUUCUGCCUGGGCACAAAGGCAGCUUCUCACAGAUGUGAGAAUGAAAACGGCUAGGCCAAUGCUUUUUAAUGCAAAACUCUCAGC
Trematomus bernacchii (emerald rockcod) is the source of this 351-nucleotide long non-coding RNA. RefSeq lists it as uncharacterized. The transcript is spliced from 3 exons. The record is from RefSeq and is a predicted model, not a curated record. NCBI's taxonomy places the organism in Eukaryota, Metazoa, Chordata, Actinopteri, Perciformes, Nototheniidae.